Molecule: ribosomal RNA, 251 nt
Filed under: uncultured bacterium
Lineage: Bacteria
Description: partial 16S ribosomal RNA
Rfam family: Bacterial small subunit ribosomal RNA
Source: RNAcentral
UACGUAGGGGGCAAGCGUUGUCCGGAAUCAUUGGCGUAAAGGGCGCGUAGGCGGGAUGGCAAGUCAGUCGUGAAAUCUCUCGGCUCAACCGAGAAACGUCGGCUGAUACUGCCGUCUUGAGGGAUGCAGAGGAGACUGGAAUUCCCGGUGUAGCGGUGAAAUGUGUAGAGAUCGGGAGGAACACCGGUGGCGAAGGCGGGUCUCUGGGCAUUUCCUGACGCUGAGGCGCGAAAGCGUGGGGAGCAAACAGG